AGAGUUUGAUUUCCAUGGCUCAGGAUGAACGCUAGCGGCAGGCUUAACACAUGCAAGUCGAGGGGUAUUAGUUUUCGGAGUAAGAGACCGGCGCACGGGUGCGUAACGCGUAUGCAAUCUACCUUUUACAGAGGGAUAGCCCAGAGAAAUUUGGAUUAAUACCUCAUAGUAUAACGACCUGGCAUCAGGAUGUUAUUAAAGUCACAACGGUAAAAGAUGAGCAUGCGUCCCAUUAGCUAGUUGGUAAGGUAACGGCUUACCAAGGCUACGAUGGGUAGGGGUCCUGAGAGGGAGAUCCCCCACACUGGUACUGAGACACGGACCAGACUCCUACGGGAGGCAGCAGUGAGGAAUAUUGGACAAUGGGCGCAAGCCUGAUCCAGCCAUGCCGCGUGCAGGAUGACGGUCCUAUGGAUUGUAAACUGCUUUUAUACGAGAAGAAACACUCCUUCGUGAAGGAGCUUGACGGUAUCGUAGAAUAGAUCGGC
Molecule: ribosomal RNA, 488 nt
Filed under: Flavobacteriaceae bacterium JJ-1610
Lineage: Bacteria; Pseudomonadati; Bacteroidota; Flavobacteriia; Flavobacteriales; Flavobacteriaceae
Description: bacterial SSU rRNA
Rfam family: Bacterial small subunit ribosomal RNA
Source: RNAcentral